GUGAAUCAUCAAAUCUUUGAACGCAAAUUGCACUCUCUUGUAUUCCGGAGAGUAUUCCUGUUUGAGGGUCUGUUUAAAUAAAAUUCGGUGUGGUUGCUGCCUUUCUUGGUGACGCAUCGGAUUUUGGUCGUCUUUCCUUCGGUUAAGUGACCUUAAAUUUUUCAUGAUUUUUUUCUAAAGUAUUUAAAUGUUUUUACGUUCGUUUGCGAUAUCGAAUACUAGUUGUUGUCAUCCUCCU
RNAcentral lists this unclassified non-coding RNA (238 nucleotides) under Glomeraceae sp. RNAcentral describes it as "partial contains 5.8S ribosomal RNA and internal transcribed spacer 2". The stretch from base 1 to 71 matches the Rfam family "5.8S ribosomal RNA", at positions 84 to 154 of the family's 154-position model. Lineage: Eukaryota; Fungi; Glomeromycota; Glomeromycetes; Glomerales; Glomeraceae. The record is from RNAcentral.